GCCGGAAUAUUGGGCGUAAAGAGCUCGUAGGCGGCUUGUCGCGUCUGCUGUGAAAGCCCGGGGCUUAACUCCGGGUGUGCAGUGGGUACGGGCAGGCUAGAGUGCAGUAGGGGUAACUGGAAUUCCUGGUGUAGCGGUGAAAUGCGCAGAUAUCAGGAGGAACACCGAUGGCGAAGGCAGGUUACUGGGCUGUUACUGACGCUGAGGAGCGAAAGCAUGGGGAGCGAACAGGAUUAGAUACCCUGGUAGUCCAUGCCGUAAACGUUGGGCACUAGGURGUGAGGGGACAUUCCACGUUUUCCGCGCCGUAGCUAACGCAUUAAGUGCCCCGCCUGGGGAGUACGSCCGCAAGRCUAAAACUCAAAGGAAUUGACGGGGGCCCGCACAAGCGGCGGAGCAUGCGGAUUAAUUCGAUGCAACGCGAAGAACCUUACCAAGGCUUGACAUACACCGGAUCGUUCCAGAGAUGGUUCUUCCCUUUUGGGCUGGUGUACAGGUGGUGCAUGGUUGUCGUCAGCUUCGUGUCGUGAGAUGUUGGGUUAAGUCCCGCAACGAGCGCAACCCUCGUUCUAUGUUGCCAGCACGUGAUGGUGGGGACUCAUAGGAGACUGCCGGGGUCAACUCGGAGGAAGGUGGGGAUGACGUCAAAUCAUCAUGCCCCUUAUGUCUUGGGCUUCACGCAUGCUACAAUGGCCGGUACAAUGGGUUGCGAUACUGUGAGGUGGAGMUAAUCCCAAAAAGCCGGUCUCAGUUCGGAUUGGGGUCWGCAACUCGGCCCCAUGAAGUCGGAGUCGCUAGUAAUCGCAGAUCAGCAACGCUGCGGCGAAUACGUUCCCGGGCCUYGUACACACCGCCCGUCAAGUCACGAAAGWUGGUAACACCCGAAGCCGAUGGCCUAACCCUUGUGGAGGGAGUCGUCGAAUGGUGGGACUGGCGAUUGGGADCUAAGUHGUAACCAAGGUAAACCGUAAAGGG
This 975-nucleotide ribosomal RNA is filed under the name uncultured bacterium. RNAcentral's name for it is "bacterial SSU rRNA". It matches the Rfam family "Bacterial small subunit ribosomal RNA", at positions 544 to 1509 of the family's 1533-position model. The record is from RNAcentral.